GCAAAUCUUUUACUCUUCCAUGUAAAAAUUUUCCAGAUCUGUGUGAAAAAAGUUGAUGGCUUCCCUUCAUGCUUUGAAUUGUGCAUAAUGAAUAUGUAGUUAAUCACCAUAAUUCAAAUGGGAUUCAAAUACACUGAAGGUAUUUACAAAAUACUGUGGAAGAAGAACACAGAGGCGGAAGUGAUUAAUUUAUUUCUGGGGAAUUCAGAAAAUGUGUCAUAAAGAAAAUAAUGUUUAUCUAGGUCUUCAAGGAUGAGUUGGAUUUUCCCAGGAGGGAAGGUUAUUUUGGGCAGAGGGAAGAGUAUAUGUGAAAAGUCAUGGUGUCCUGAAAGAAUGUGGCCUUCUGGGGGCACACCAGACUGCAUGCUGUGCACGUUCGGCUGAUGGGGCUGGUGUUGGGAGACAAUGGCGCCAACCCCAUUUGUAUGAUAAGCCCUGACGUGCAAAAGCCAAGCAUGUGCUGUCUCCCGC
Callorhinus ursinus (northern fur seal) is the source of this 471-nucleotide non-coding RNA. The record is from RefSeq and is a predicted model, not a curated record. NCBI's taxonomy places the organism in Eukaryota, Metazoa, Chordata, Mammalia, Carnivora, Otariidae.